This is a long non-coding RNA of Phalaenopsis equestris, 932 nucleotides long. RefSeq lists it as uncharacterized. The record is from RefSeq and is a predicted model, not a curated record. The transcript has 3 exons. Lineage: Eukaryota; Viridiplantae; Streptophyta; Magnoliopsida; Asparagales; Orchidaceae.
UGCUCUGAGGAUGUGGAGUGAAAUGAGUAAUUAUGAUGUCAUUCCUGACAUCGAACAUUACAUCACAAUAAUUAAAGGAUUGGCGGCGCAUGGAUGGCUUCCAAAAGCUAUGGAAUUUUAUGGUGAAAUGAAAUUGAAGGGAUUUGCAACUGAUCCUGAAUUGGAACAGCUCUUUAAGGGCUUUCUUUCGAAUAAGAAGAACCAUUGCAGCAGAGGUUGAGGGAUAUAACUCCAGGAAACAUGGAAGGAAGAGAAUUCCUAGAGGUUUGUUCGCUUAAGGAAGACUAGACCAAUCAUCUGAUGGCAAAGCCAUGCUUCGUAUAGUUCUGAUGGCUUUCUUUACAAGCGGGGAAAAAAUGUUCAAAUCUUUUGGAGAAGAAAUGAAAAUUUUGAACCAAGUAUUCUAGAGUUGCAUUUGUUUCGCCGUAGUAUUAGAUUGAGCACCUGAUAAUUGAAUUUGAUGAUAGAAACUCGAAAGCACGGCAUUGCAACAUCAGAUGCAAGCGCCUCAAUGCUCAGACCAGCAACGCUCGUGCACUAGGAAGUCGGCAUCGUCACAACAAUGCCUGAAUUCAAAAACCGAGAGCAUGCAACACAUCACAACUAUGUAAUGCCACAACUCCCACCAUAGUGUCGUGACGCUAUCUAUAAUCAUGGAGUUCAGUUUGGACGGUUUUAGUGACAGUUUGGCCUGAAUUUUUAUAUAAGGAGAGGCUUUUGAAGACUGCAGAAGCCCUCUUCAGUCUUCUUUUUAGUCAGUCUCUUAUUUCUAAGAGUGUUGUGAGUAUGUUGCACUUUUAUCGAGUGAUAUUUGAGAAGGAAGCAUUAGGAGUGGCACUUUGAAAGAAGGUUUCUCUUGGAGCAAGGAUACUUUCUUUGAUUUUUCUACUAUUCUCUUUAAUUUGUUAACUUAUAUUUUUAAUUAAGAUAUA